GCCCGCCUAGCUCAAUCGGAUAGAGCGUCAGACUUUUAUGGAUCUGGUGCCACCAACAAGAAAUGAAAAUCUGAAGGCUGCGAGUUCGACCCUCGCGGUGGGCU
Marasmius tenuissimus is the source of this 104-nucleotide non-coding RNA. NCBI's taxonomy places the organism in Eukaryota, Fungi, Basidiomycota, Agaricomycetes, Agaricales, Marasmiaceae. The record is from the annotation of a GenBank genome assembly.